This 468-nucleotide ribosomal RNA is filed under the name uncultured bacterium. RNAcentral's name for it is "partial 16S ribosomal RNA". It matches the Rfam family "Bacterial small subunit ribosomal RNA", at positions 28 to 507 of the family's 1533-position model. The record is from RNAcentral.
GACGAACGCUGGCGGCGUGCUUAACACAUGCAAGUCGAACGGAAAGGCCCUGCUUUUGUGGGUUGCUCGAGUGGCGAACGGGUGAGUAACACGUGAGUAACCUGCCCUUGACUUUGGGAUAACUUCAGGAAACUGGGGCUAAUACCGGAUAGGAGCUCCUGCUGCAUGGUGGGGGUUGGAAAGUUUCGGCGGUUGGGGAUGGACUCGCGGCUUAUCAGCUUGUUGGUGGGGUAGUGGCUUACCAAGGCUUUGACGGGUAGCCGGCCUGAGAGGGUGACCGGCAACCAUGGGCCUGAGGUACGGCGCAGACGAGAACGGGACGCAGCAGUGGAGAAUAUUACACAAUGGGCGGAAGCCUGAUACAGCAACGCCGCGUGCGGGAUGACGGCCUUCGGGUUAUAAACCGAUUUCGCCUGUGACGAAGCGUGAGUGACGGUAAUGGGUAAGGAAGCACCGGCUAACUACGUG